UUGACGGGGAGCACCACAACGGGUGGAGCUUGCGGUUUAAUUGGAUUCAACGCCGGAAAUCUUACCGGGACCGACAGCAAUAUGAAGGCCAGGCUGAAGACUUUGCCGGAUUAGCUGAGAGGUGGUGCAUGGCCGUCGUCAGUUCGUACUGUGAAGCAUCCUGUUAAGUCAGGCAACGAGCGAGACCCACGCCCACAGUUGCCAGCGUACUCUCCGGAGUGACGGGUACACUGUGGGACCGCCGCUGCUAAAGCGGAGGAAGGAAUGGGCAACGGUAGGUCAGUAUGCCCCGAAUAUCCCGGGCUACACGCGAGCUACAAUGGUUGGUACAAUGGGUAUCUACCCCGAAAGGGGACGGAAAUCUCCUAAAACCAAUCUUAGUUCGGAUUGAGGGCUGCAACUCGCCCUCAUGAAGCUGGAAUCCGUAGUAAUCGCGUUUCAACAGAACGCGGUGAAUACGUCCCUGCUCCUU
Molecule: ribosomal RNA, 472 nt
Filed under: uncultured Methanosaeta sp.
Lineage: Archaea; Methanobacteriati; Methanobacteriota; Methanomicrobia; Methanotrichales; Methanotrichaceae
Description: bacterial SSU rRNA
Rfam family: Archaeal small subunit ribosomal RNA
Source: RNAcentral